GUGCCCGUAGCUCAGUUGGAUAGAGCGCCAGACUGCGGAUCUGGAGGUUGGGGGUUCGAAUCCCCCCGGGUCCCCCC
RNAcentral lists this transfer RNA (77 nucleotides) under Thermotoga neapolitana DSM 4359. RNAcentral's name for it is "tRNA-Arg". It matches the Rfam family "tRNA". From Rfam's summary of the family: Transfer RNA (tRNA) molecules are approximately 80 nucleotides in length. Their secondary structure includes four short double-helical elements and three loops (D, anti-codon, and T loops). Further hydrogen bonds mediate the characteristic L-shaped molecular structure. tRNAs have two regions of fundamental functional importance: the anti-codon, which is responsible for specific mRNA codon recognition, and the 3' end, to which the tRNAs corresponding amino acid is attached (by aminoacyl-tRNA synthetases). tRNAs cope with the degeneracy of the genetic code in two manners: having more than one tRNA (with a specific anti-codon) for a particular amino acid; and 'wobble' base-pairing, i.e. permitting non-standard base-pairing at the 3rd anti-codon position. Lineage: Bacteria; Thermotogati; Thermotogota; Thermotogae; Thermotogales; Thermotogaceae. The record is from RNAcentral.